This 866-nucleotide ribosomal RNA is filed under the name uncultured Alphaproteobacteria bacterium. Its description in RNAcentral is "bacterial SSU rRNA". It matches the Rfam family "Bacterial small subunit ribosomal RNA", at positions 8 to 922 of the family's 1533-position model. The record is from RNAcentral. Lineage: Bacteria; Pseudomonadati; Pseudomonadota; Alphaproteobacteria.
AGAGUUUGAUCAUGGCUCAGAACGUACGCUGGCGGCACGCCUAAUACAUGCAAGUCGAACGAAGUAGCAAUACUUAGUGGCAGACGGGUGAGUAACAUGUAGGUAUCUUCCCAUUGGUGAGGAAUAACACGAGGAAACUUGUGCUAAUACCUCAUAAGUCUUUACGGAGAAAGCUUUAUGCGCCGAUGGAUGAGCCUGCACUUGAUUAGUUUGUUGGUAGGGUAAUGGCCUACCAAGACAAUGAUCAAUAGCUGAUUUGAGAGGAUGAUCAGCCACAUUGGGACUGAGACACGGCCCAAACUCCUACGGGAGGCAGCAGUAGGGAAUCUUGCACAAUGGGGGAAACCCUGAUGCAGCGAUGCCGCGUGAGUGAAGAAGGCCUUUGGGUUGUAAAGCUCUUUCGUCGGGGAAGAAAAUGACUGUACCCGAAUAAGAAGGUCCGGCUAACUUCGUGCCAGCAGCCGCGGUAAUACGAAGGGACCUAGCGUAGUUCGGAAUUACUGGGCUUAAAGAGUUCGUAGGUGGUUGAAAAAGUUGGUGGUGAAAUCCCAGAGCUUAACUCUGGAACUGCCAUCAAAACUUUUUAGCUAGAGUAUGAUAGAGGAAAGCAGAAUUUCUAGUGUAGAGGUGAAAUUCGUAGAUAUUAGAAAGAAUACCAAUUGCGAAGGCAGCUUUCUGGAUCAUUACUGACACUGAGGAACGAAAGCAUGGGUAGCGAAGAGGAUUAGAUACCCUCGUAGUCCAUGCCGUAAACGAUGUGUGUUAGACGUUGGAAAUUUAUUUUCAGUGUCGCAGCGAAAGCGAUAAACACACCGCCUGGGGAGUACGACCGCAAGGUUAAAACUCAAAUGAAUUGACGGGGACCC